RNAcentral lists this ribosomal RNA (1154 nucleotides) under human gut metagenome. RNAcentral describes it as "bacterial LSU rRNA". It matches the Rfam family "Bacterial large subunit ribosomal RNA", at positions 809 to 1989 of the family's 2925-position model. The record is from RNAcentral.
GUGUGGAUAGGGGAGAAAUUCCAAUCGAACCCGGAGAUAGCUGGUUCUCCUCGAAAUAGCUUUAGGGCUAGCCUCAUGCAAGUCUUACGGAGGUAGAGCACUGAAUUCCUAAGGGGGCGUCAAAGCUUACCAAGGGAUAUCAAACUCCGAAUGCCGUGUAGAUGGUGCAUGGGAGUCAGACUAUCCGAGAUAAGUUGGGUAGUCAAAAGGGAAAGAGCCCAGACCUACAGCUAAGGUCCCAAAAUGUGUGUUAAGUGGAAAAGGAUGUGGGAUUUCGAAGACAACUAGGAUGUUGGCUUAGAAGCAGCCAUCCAUUAAAAGAGUGCGUAAUAGCUCACUAGUCGAGAGGUCCUGCGCCGAAAAUGUCCGGGGCUGAAACACACUACCGAAGCUUGGGAAUUGACGAAUGUUAAUUGGUAGAGGAGCAUUCUUAACGGGGCGAAGCUGUACCGGAAGGAGCAGUGGACUGUUAAGAAGAGAGAAUGCCGGAAUGAGUAGCGAGAGGAAGGUGAGAAUCCUUCCGGCCGAAUAUCUAAGGUUUCCAGAGUAAAGCUGAUCUGCUCUGGGUAAGUCGGGGCCUAAGGCGAGGUCGAAAGACGUAGUCGAUGGAUAACAGGUAAAGAUUCCUGUACUAUAUCAUAACAGAACUGUGGGGACGCAGACAGAGAGCAUAAGCCGGGAAUGGAAAAACCGGUACAAGCGAGGUAGGAGUGCAUCAGGCAAAUCCGGUGCACAAUCUGAAGACGUGAUGUGGGGCGUAAAGCCGGAAGUAUGUGAGCUGGCUGCCAAGAAAAGCCGCUAUUGUUUAUGAUAUACCCGUACCGUAAACCGACACAGGUGGAUGAGGAGAGAAUCCUAAGGCCGACGGGAGAAGCAUUGUUAAGGAACUCGGCAAAAUGACUCCGUAACUUCGGGAGAAGGAGUGCCAUGUAAAAGUGGCCGCAGAGAAUUGGCCCAAGCAACUGUUUAGCAAAAACACAGGUCUAUGCAAAACCGAAAGGUGAGGUAUAUGGGCUGACGCCUGCCCGGUGCUGGAAGGUUAAGGGGAGAGGUUAGUCGUAAGGCGAAGCUUUGAACUUAAGCCCCAGUAAACGGCGGCCGUAACUAUAACGGUCCUAAGGUAGCGAAAUUCCUUGUCGGGUAAGUUCCGACCC